RNAcentral lists this ribosomal RNA (945 nucleotides) under uncultured archaeon. RNAcentral describes it as "bacterial SSU rRNA". It matches the Rfam family "Archaeal small subunit ribosomal RNA", at positions 1 to 922 of the family's 1478-position model. The record is from RNAcentral.
UUCCGGUUGAUCCUGCCGGACCCCACUGCUAUCGGGAUAGGACUAAGACAUGCUAGUCGAGCGCUUCCUAGCCAAUAUGGAAGCGCGGCACACAGCUCAGUAACACGUGGCUAACCUGCCCUUGGGACAAGAACAAUCCCGGGAAACUGGGGCUAAUUCUUGAUAGGUGAAGAAUUCUGGAAUGAGUCUUCACCCAAAAGAUACUUGCAUUAUGCUUGUAGGUGUCGCCCAAGGAUGGGGCCGCGGCCGAUCAGGUUGUUGGUGAGGUAAUGGCUCACCAAGCCUUUUACCGGUGCGGGCCGUGGGAGCGGGAGCCCGGAGAUGGGCACUGAGACAAGGGCCCAGGCCCUACGGGGCGCAGCAGUCGCGAAAACUUUGCAAUAAGCGAAAGCUUGACAGGGCUAUCCCGAGUGCCAUCCGCUGAGGAAGGCUUUUACCCAGUCUAGAACGCUGGGAGAAUAAGGAGAGGGCAAGUCUGGUGUCAGCCGCCGCGGUAAUACCAGCUCUCCGAGUGGUGUGGAUGUUUAUUGGGCCUAAAGCAUCCGUAGCUUGCUAAGUUAGUCCUUUGUUAAAUCCACCGAAUUAAUCGUUGGACUGCGGGGGAUACUGCUUGGCUAGGGGACGAGAGAGGCAGACGGUAUUUCCGGGGUAAGGGUGAAAUCUUACAAUCCUGGGAAGACCACCAGUGGCGAAGGCUGUCUGCUAGAACGCGCCCGACGGUGAGGGAUGAAAGCUGGGGGAGCGAACCGGAUUAGAUACCCGGGUAGUCCCGGCCGUAAACGAUGCACGCUAGGUGUUUGGACGGCUACGUGCCGUUCUAGUGCCGCAGGGAAGCUGUUAAGCCUGCCGCCUGGGGAGUACGAUCGCAAGGUUGAAACUUAAAGGAAUUGGCGGGGGAGCACCACAAGGGGUGAAGCUUGCGGUUUAAUUGGACUCAACGCCGGU